CGAUCCGCGAGAUUGACUGGAGUCCCACCUGUAAGUGAGGGUACAGCUGCUCGUCCACCUGCCUUGCCAAGGGCAAGAUCUCACAGGUCAAGCAGGGAAGGAACGUCACGAGACCCGAGAAGGUCUUCUGACGAGAGCAGGAGAGGAGUAAGCAGAGGGGGAAGGUCAGUAGAAGAAAGAGGUGGGAUGGAAGAGGAUCAGAGUAGAGAUGUAAGCAUGGGUGUAGGAAGGUCAGAAGAAGGUAUGGGGGAGUCCCAGGGAGGCGUUCAGGCCUCGGGGUUUGGC
This 285-nucleotide long non-coding RNA is filed under the name Manihot esculenta (cassava). RNAcentral's name for it is "long non-coding RNA (MESC_LNC001968)". Lineage: Eukaryota; Viridiplantae; Streptophyta; Magnoliopsida; Malpighiales; Euphorbiaceae. The record is from RNAcentral.